RNAcentral lists this non-coding RNA (29 nucleotides) under Mus musculus (house mouse). Lineage: Eukaryota; Metazoa; Chordata; Mammalia; Rodentia; Muridae. The record is from RNAcentral.
UAGAAUGGCCUGGAAUGUUUUCAUUCUGU